CCUACGGGAGGCAGCAGUGAGGAAUAUUGGUCAAUGGACGCAAGUCUGAACCAGCCAUGCCGCGUGCAGGAAGACGGCUCUAUGAGUUGUAAACUGCUUUUGUACGAGGGUAAACGCAGAUACGCGUAUCUGUCUGAAAGUAUCGUACGAAUAAGGAUCGGCUAACUCCGUGCCAGCAGCCGCGGUAAUACGGAGGAUUCAAGCGUUAUCCGGAUUUAUUGGGUUUAAAGGGUGCGUAGGCGGUCGGAUAAGUUAGAGGUGAAAUCCCGAGGCUCAACUUCGGAAUUGCCUCUGAUAGUGUUCAGCUAGAGAGUAGUUGCGGUAGGCGGAAUGUAUGGUGUAGCGGUGAAAUGCUUAGAGAUCAUACAGAACACCGAUUGCGAAGGCAGCUUACCAAGCUACUUCUGACGUUGAGGCACGAAAGCGUGGGGAGCAAACAGGAUUAGAUACCCCGGUAGUC
Molecule: ribosomal RNA, 460 nt
Filed under: uncultured bacterium
Lineage: Bacteria
Description: partial 16S ribosomal RNA
Rfam family: Bacterial small subunit ribosomal RNA
Source: RNAcentral